GGGGAAUUUUCCGCAAUGGGCGCAAGCCUGACGGAGCAAUACCGCGUGAGGGAGGAAGGCUCUUGGGUUGUAAACCUCUUUUGUCAGGGAAGAAGAUCUGACGGUACCUGACGAAUCAGCAUCGGCUAACUCCGUGCCAGCAGCCGCGGUAAUACGGAGGAUGCAAGCGUUAUCCGGAUUUAUUGGGCGUAAAGCGUCCGCAGGUGGUUUAUCAAGUCUGCUGUUAAAGCGUGGGGCUUAACUCCAUACCGGCAGUGGAAACUGGUAGACUAGAGUCUGGUAGGGGUCACGGGAAUUCCCAGUGUAGCGGUGAAAUGCGUAGAUAUUGGGAAGAACACCAGCGGCGAAAGCGCGUGACUGGGCCGGAACUGACACUCAUGGACGAAAGCUAGGGGAGCGAAAGGGAUUAGAUACCCCUGUAGUCCUAGCUGUAAACGAUGGAUACUAGGUGUUGCCCGUAUCGACCCGGGCAGUGCCGUAGCUAACGCGUUAAGUAUCCCGCCUGGGGAGUACGCACGCAAGUGUGAAACUCAAAGGAAUUGACGGGGGCCCGCACAAGCGGUGGAGUAUGUGGUUUAAUUCGAUGCAACGCGAAGAACCUUACCAGGGCUUGACAUGUCCGGAAUCCCCUUGAAAGGGGGGAGUGCCUUCGGGAGCCGGAACACAGGUGGUGCAUGGCUGUCGUCAGCUCGUGUCGUGAGAUGUUGGGUUAAGUCCCGCAACGAGCGCAACCCUCGUUUCUAGUUGCCAUCAUUGAGUUGGGCACUCUGGAGAGACUGCCGGUGACAAACCGGAGGAAGGUGGGGAUGACGUCAAGUCAGCAUGCCCCUUACGUCCUGGGCUACACACGUACUACAAUGCUACGGACAGAGGGUUGCAAGUACGCGAGUGCAAGCUAAUCCCGUAAACCGUGGCUCAGUUCAGAUUGCAGGCUGCAACUCGCCUGCAUGAAGGAGGAAUCGCUAGUAAUCGCAGGUCAGCAUACUGCGGUGAAUACGUUCCCGGGCCUUGUACACACCGCCCGUCACACCAUGGGAGUUGGCCACGCCCGAAGUCGUUACUCCAACCGCUUGCGGAGGAGGACGCCGAAGGCAGGGCUGAUGACUGGGGUGAAGUCGUAACAAGGUAGCCGUACCGGAAGGUGUGGCUGGAUCACCUCCUU
This 1162-nucleotide ribosomal RNA is filed under the name uncultured Loriellopsis sp. RNAcentral describes it as "bacterial SSU rRNA". It matches the Rfam family "Bacterial small subunit ribosomal RNA", at positions 356 to 1532 of the family's 1533-position model. Lineage: Bacteria; Bacillati; Cyanobacteriota; Cyanophyceae; Nostocales; Symphyonemataceae. The record is from RNAcentral.